CCUACGGGCGGCAGCAGUAGGGAAUAUUGCUCAAUGGGGGAAACCCUGAAGCAGCAACGCCGCGUUGAGGAUGAAGGUUUUAGGAUUGUAAACUCCUUUUGUUAGAGAAGCUUAUGACGGUAUCUAACGAAUUAGCACCGGCUAAAUCCGUGCCAGCAGCAGCGGUAAUACGGCGGGUGCAAGCGUUACUCGGAAUCACUGGGCGUAAAGAGUGCGUAGGCGGGGUAAUAAGUCAGAUGUGAAAUCCUGUAGCUGAACUACAGCACUGCAUUUGAAACUGUUACUCUAGAGUGUGGGAGAGGUAGGUGGAAUUCUUGGUGUAGGGGUAAAAUGCGUAGAGAUCAAGAGGAAUACUCAUUGCGAAGGCGACCUGCUGGAACAUUACUGACGCUGAUGCACGAAAGCGUGGGGAGCGAACAGGAUUAGAUACCCGUGUAGUC
RNAcentral lists this ribosomal RNA (440 nucleotides) under uncultured bacterium. RNAcentral's name for it is "partial 16S ribosomal RNA". It matches the Rfam family "Bacterial small subunit ribosomal RNA", at positions 338 to 795 of the family's 1533-position model. The record is from RNAcentral.